UAGGACUGUAGCUCUUGUUUUAGUUCGAGAGCCGUUUGGAGAGCUUAAUUUAUAUGCUUUGUACCUUUUUUCCCCUAAAAUUACCAAAGAUAUUCCACAAAGUUAAAUUAUGUUCUCUGUUUUUAUGCUUUAUCUGAUGAAGCCAAAUAUCCUCUUCUUGUUGAUCAAAGGAGGCAAAAUAAUUUAGAGGCAAUUGAUGAGAUAUAGGCUAUUGCUAACUUGAGACAACUGCUCCUUCAUCAUAGAGGACAUUUAGGAGACCAAGUAGGUAAUGGAACCAAAGUAGUUACUUUUUUUUUUUUUUAAUCAUUUUUUGUUGUUUGUUUUUUUCCUACAGAGACCAAAACUCAUUCCUGUAAAGAGAAAUUACGGGGCUACUGAAGGGAGAAAUAGGAUACAGUAUUAAGGGUGUACCAUCUCCAAGGAAAAACAAAAACAGUGUAUGGCAUAUGAAACUUAGGGG
This 463-nucleotide long non-coding RNA is filed under the name Bos taurus (domestic cattle). Its description in RNAcentral is "long non-coding RNA NONBTAT013754". Lineage: Eukaryota; Metazoa; Chordata; Mammalia; Artiodactyla; Bovidae. The record is from RNAcentral.